GAUGAACGCUAGCCACAGGCUUAACACAUGCAAGUCGAGGGGUAACGAGAGGGAAGCUUGCUUUCCUUGUCGACGACCGGCGCACGGGUGAGUAACGCGUAUCCAACCUGCCCCCAACUAAGGAAUAACCUUGCGAAAGUAAGACUAAUACCUUAUAAUUUCCUCAGAUGACAUCUGACGAGGAAUAAAGAUUUAUCGGUUGUGGAUGGGGAUGCGUCUGAUUAGCUUGUUGGCGGGGUAACGGCCCACCAAGGCAACGAUCAGUAGGGGUUCUGAGAGGAAGGUCCCCCACAUUGGAACUGAGACACGGUCCAAACUCCUACGGGAGGCAGCAGUGAGGAAUAUUGGUCAAUGGGCGGAAGCCUGAACCAGCCAAGUAGCGUGCAGGAUGACGGCCCUAUGGGUUGUAAACUGCUUUUAUACAGGAAUAAAGUUAGCCACGUGUGGUUAUUUGUAGGUACUGUAUGAAUAAGGACCGGCUAAUUCCGUGCCAGCAGCCGCGGUAA
This 506-nucleotide ribosomal RNA is filed under the name uncultured bacterium. RNAcentral describes it as "partial 16S ribosomal RNA". It matches the Rfam family "Bacterial small subunit ribosomal RNA", at positions 28 to 523 of the family's 1533-position model. The record is from RNAcentral.